RNAcentral lists this ribosomal RNA (500 nucleotides) under uncultured bacterium. Its description in RNAcentral is "partial 16S ribosomal RNA". It matches the Rfam family "Bacterial small subunit ribosomal RNA", at positions 30 to 523 of the family's 1533-position model. The record is from RNAcentral.
AUUGAACGCUGGCGGCAUGCCUUACACAUGCAAGUCGAACGGCAGCACGGGAGUAAUCCUGGUGGCGAGUGGCGAACGGGUGAGUAAUAUAUCGGAACGUGCCCAGUCGUGGGGGAUAACGUAGCGAAAGCUACGCUAAUACCGCAUACGAUCUAUGGAUGAAAGCGGGGGAUCGCAAGACCUCGCGCGAUUGGAGCGGCCGAUAUCAGAUUAGGUAGUUGGUGGGGUAAAGGCUCAUCAAGCCGACGAUCUGUAGCUGGUCUGAGAGGACGACCAGCCACACUGGGACUGAGACACGGCCCAGACUCCUACGGGAGGCAGCAGUGGGGAAUUUUGGACAAUGGGCGCAAGCCUGAUCCAGCAAUGCCGCGUGCAGGAUGAAGGCCUUCGGGUUGUAAACUGCUUUUGUACGGAGCGAAAAGGCUCUCUCUAAUACAGGGGGCUCAUGACGGUACCGUAAGAAUAAGCACCGGCUAACUACGUGCCAGCCGCCGCAGUAA